GGCAAAUUUUUUUCCAGCAGCCGCGGUAAUUCCAGCUCCAGUAGCGUAUAUUAAAGUUGUUGCAGUUAAAAAGCUCGUAGUUGAACUUUGGGCCUGGUUGGCCGGUCCGAUUUUUUCGUGUACUGGUUUCCAACCGGGCCUUUCCUUCUGGCUAACCUUGGGUCCUUGUGGCCCUUGGCGAACCAGGACUUUUACUUUGAAAAAAUUAGAGUGUUCAGAGCAGGCGUAUUGCUCGAAUAUAUUAGCAUGGAAUAAUAGAAUAGGACGUUUGGUUCUAUUUUGUUGGUUUCUAGGACCAUCGUAAUGAUUAAUAGGGACGGUCGGGGGCAUCAGUAUUCAAUUGUCAGAGGUGAAAUUCUUGGAUUUAUUGAAGACUAACUACUGCGAGAGCAUUGCCAAGGACGUUUCAUAUCAAGAACGAAAAUUGG
RNAcentral lists this ribosomal RNA (428 nucleotides) under uncultured fungus. RNAcentral's name for it is "partial 18S ribosomal RNA". It matches the Rfam family "Eukaryotic small subunit ribosomal RNA", at positions 554 to 993 of the family's 1831-position model. The record is from RNAcentral. Lineage: Eukaryota; Fungi.